GAUUUCAUUUUUGUUAAUAAAGUUAGGAAAGCUGGAAGUGGCUGGCUGUGGAUCUCUGAACCUGAGAUAGCCCAAAGGCAAGAGUUUCCCGAGUUUAUGGGUGCUGAGUAUAGGAGCUGGGUUGUUGCUACUUCAGGUUGUUAAGACAGUCGUUAUAAGGGGAGCAAGAGUCAGAUUAGUUCAAUUUCUUUCUCCUGGGGCAGGGAGGAGAGGGAGCAGCAAGCCAGCCUCGUGGCCUUCUCGUCUCUAGCCUACAAGGAAUAGGCUGAUUUCCCCUUGGCAAGGCGCCUGAAGCAGCUGGCAGGCAAGCCCUCCUCUUCCUACUUCAGUACGCCCUCUGACCUGACUGCACUCAGAAACCAAAAUUCUGCAGGUGAAUGUAGGCUCCCAUUUCGUCCCACAAUCAUUUCAUCAUUCAGGCACAGCUUGACCUCUAAUGUGACAUCACAAACCCUUCCGGUCCACAGUUUUUUUUUCUUCUUCAGAAACUACCUAAACAAGGAAGUUUGUGUUCCAAGGUAAGAUAACCUGAAAUGAAAAACUCAGGAUCCCUCACGAACAGCCUGACCCUGCUUUCAACCAGGAAGUUCAAGGGAGGCAGGACUUUACGGUCAAAACUGCAAAGCCGAAGCUCAAGACUGUAAGAAGAAAGUGAUCUUCAAAGAAAAGGAUUCACCCAAAUCGAAGAGGAUAUCGUUUCGCAUCAGGGACACUCGUCUCCACACCUCCUACCUCAAAGUCCUACGCACCUACCCUUCACGUCUCUCCAAAGCAACUGAAUUAAAGCGCCUACUGGCCUUGGCGGCGCAGGUCCCAAGAUUUUGACUGAUUGGUUGUACGACUAGAGUUGCUGGAGUUCAAGUAUUUUCAUUUUAACUAUUCAACUGAAAGCAGUGCGUUACAACAGAACACGGGUUCCAAAGAAUUUACUGAGAAGAAGCAAAGUAAUACUUGGGAGAACUAUAAUACACAGGCAUCUCAUGAAAAUCAUCCAACAUAUAGAAGAAUAUAUAGAAUAAAGCAAAAAUCAUCAGAAACUCCACCGUCUUGGAUGACCAUAGUUGAUAUUCUGAAUGGCUUCUGUUCCGAUUGAACCUUGACUGAUGUAGCACCUAUCACCAAAUUGCUGUUCAGGAAAUAUGUCCUAAAGAAACUCCCAACAGCAGCAAUACAUCAGAGUGGCACCUCUUUACACUGGUUCUUGAGAAGAUGUCAGAGUGAGAUUUGCAAUAGACUCCCAGCAGCCCCCAGGAGCACCAAGUGAGAUGCCUGCCAGGCCCACUGUGUCCACUGCCCUCUGGUAGCACCUGAGGAUCAUGGAAAUUAAAUCCUGGUAGAUAAAGGGGAAGACGUAAGGAAGACAAGACAAGGGACUGAGGAAAUGUUGGGGAAGAUGAGAACACCUCAGAAACCACAAUUGAAGAAUUCCUAGGACCCCCAGGAAAGGGGCACAUCCAGAAAGGAGAUAAGAUCAGAAGCCUUUAUUUCCACUAUUCAGCCACUCACUGCCUGAGACUUAACUUCAUUUCAAGUAAGGGGAUAAUAUUUGGCCCCUAAGUAUCUUACAAGGGUUUUGUUUUCCCUAAGAGAAAAAAAAUUAGGUAAGAUCAUAAGUAAGAAAGGAUUUUUUGAAUUAAAAAUAUAUGCAAAUGCAAGUUAUAACAAUUUUUGUUCUGGAUAUUUUUGCAGUAGAUAGAAAAGUUCUUUGUGCUGUGGCCACCUGCCUAAUGCUGUUGACUGGCUGGUAAUAGAUGCCUGGGAGUCAUUUUGAGGUUACUUAGAGCCUCUUUCCACCACCAGAUGGAAGGAAAUUGGGCAACUUCUUGAGUAAUUGGCUCUUCUGACUCACGUUUCUUGCAUUGUGACCUGGGUGCUACCCAGGAUGAGCAAGGAAUUUCCUCUCUGGAGUUGUUUAAGGAAUAGCCCAAACGUUCAGCUUCAUCUUUUUUUAAUGCCGCCUCUAACACUACCUGAGCAGCCACAGAAAAGUAUUUGCUGCUGCAGUAUUUUGGAUCAGCUGAAAUAUAUUUUGAGUAUGUACUCUGGGAAAGGCACAGAAUACCAUUUCUUUACUGAGAUUCUCUUCAAGGAUUUCCAUCCCUCCUUAAAGACCUAGUUGGGAUGGAGCAAUGUAUUUAGAACAUGAUGUGAGUACCAACAAGGAGUCGGGAGACACCUUUUAGCUGUACUUCUUUAUCUUUCUCUCCUUGCUUCCUCUGUCUCUGGUUUCCCCUUUUGCAUCUCUUGUUUUUCCUUUCUUUUCUUGUAUUACUUUCUCUUGAUCAAUAGAGCUGCCAUAGCCUUCCCAGACAUAAAUAAUCAGCUUCCUUGGAAGUACUCAGAAUGUGAACAGCUGUAGCCACUUAGACCUGGUCUUAGAUUCUCACCCCUUGUUGUGUAUUGUAAUUAUCUAGGGAACUUAAAAGGUACUGAGGCAUGGGCCCCAAUGGAAUCAUUAUCCCUGGGGGGUGGGGUGGGCCCUAGACCUGGUAUUUUCAAAAACUUUCAAAAAUUAUUCUAACACAUACGCAGAUUAAACUGGUUGCAG
Long non-coding RNA from Homo sapiens (human), 2548 nucleotides. Ensembl annotates it as SAMD12 antisense RNA 1. Its record names the gene SAMD12-AS1. The record is from Ensembl. Lineage: Eukaryota; Metazoa; Chordata; Mammalia; Primates; Hominidae.